GACGAACGCUGGCGGCGUGCUUAACACAUGCCAGUCGAACGGAAAGGCCCUGCUUUUGUGGGGUGCUCGAGUGGCGAACGGGUGAGUAACACGUGAGUAACCUGCCCUUGACUUUGGGAUAACUUCAGGAAACUGGGGCUAAUACCGGAUAGGAGCUCCUGCUGCAUGGUGGGGGUUGGAAAGUUUCGGCGGUUGGGGAUGGACUCGCGGCUUAUCAGCUUGUUGGUGGGGUAGUGGCUUACCAAGGCUUUGACGGGUAGCCGGCCUGAGAGGGGGACCGGCCACAUUGGGACUGAGAUACGGCCCAGACUCCUACGGGAGGCAGCAGUGGGGAAUAUUGCACAAUGGGCGGAAGCCUGAUGAAGCAACGCCGCGUGCGGGAUGACGGCCUUCGGGUUGUAAACCGCUUUCGCCUGUGACGAAGCGGGAGUGACGGUAAUGGGUAAAGAAGCACCGGCUAACUACGUG
RNAcentral lists this ribosomal RNA (468 nucleotides) under uncultured bacterium. Its description in RNAcentral is "partial 16S ribosomal RNA". It matches the Rfam family "Bacterial small subunit ribosomal RNA", at positions 28 to 507 of the family's 1533-position model. The record is from RNAcentral.